AAUAGAUACCCCGGUAGUCCACGCCCUAAACGAUGUCUACUAGUUGUUGGGUCUUAAUUGACUUAGUAACGCAGCUAACGCGUGAAGUAGACCGCCUGGGGAGUACGGUCGCAAGAUUAAAACUCAAAGGAAUUGACGGGGACCCGCACAAGCGGUGGAUGAUGUGGAUUAAUUCGAUGCAACGCGAAAAACCUUACCUACCCUUGACAUGUCAGGAAUCCUUGAGAGAUUGAGGAGUGCCCGAAAGGGAACCUGAACACAGGUGCUGCAUGGCUGUCGUCAGCUCGUGUCGUGAGAUGUUGGGUUAAGUCCCGCAACGAGCGCAACCCUUGUCAUUAGUUGCUACGCAAGAGCACUCUAAUGAGACUGCCGGUGACAAACCGGAGGAAGGUGGGGAUGACGUCAAGUCCUCAUGGCCCUUAUGGGUAGGGCUUCACACGUCAUACAAUGGUACAUACAGAGGGCCGCAACCCGCGAGGGGGAGCUAAUCCCAGAAAGUGUAUCGUAGUCCGGAUUGUAGUCUGCAACUCGACUA
Molecule: ribosomal RNA, 535 nt
Filed under: uncultured bacterium
Lineage: Bacteria
Description: bacterial SSU rRNA
Rfam family: Bacterial small subunit ribosomal RNA
Source: RNAcentral